AGUUGAUGUAAUGUAUAAAAACAUGGAAAUAAUAUUAUCUGUACAGAUGCCAAAAAAACAUAAAUAUAGCAAUCUCAUCAAAUAUUUAUAUUGGAAUGAUAUUAACUUAAGGUUUUCAAGUCACAUUACAUAAACACCAUUUUGUCCAAAUAUGAUUUCUUUCAUCUUAUCCUUCCAUUAAUUAGACUAUUUCCUAGCCCCCAUCUGAGUUUACUGGUUGCUCAAUCUGAUCAUUCAGAACUCUGAACCUGUCAACCCAGCUCCAGAUAUGUAUAUAUUGAGUUCUUUACAAUCGUCUAAUCUUUAAAUUACAAUAUUAGAACUCAAUAUUAGAACUCUCUUCUUCAUUUUUUGUAGGGAUCAAA
RNAcentral lists this unclassified non-coding RNA (365 nucleotides) under Hevea brasiliensis (rubber tree). Lineage: Eukaryota; Viridiplantae; Streptophyta; Magnoliopsida; Malpighiales; Euphorbiaceae. The record is from RNAcentral.